RNAcentral lists this ribosomal RNA (226 nucleotides) under uncultured bacterium. RNAcentral describes it as "partial 16S ribosomal RNA". It matches the Rfam family "Bacterial small subunit ribosomal RNA", at positions 538 to 763 of the family's 1533-position model. The record is from RNAcentral.
GCGUUAUCCGGAUUUAUUGGGUUUAAAGGGUCCGUAGGCGGAUCCGUAAGUCAGUGGUGAAAUCUCACAGCUCAACUGUGAAACUGCCAUUGAUACUGCGGGUCUUGAGUAAGGUAGAAGUGGCUGGAAUAAGUAGUGUAGCGGUGAAAUGCAUAGAUAUUACUUAGAACACCAAUUGCGAAGGCAGGUCACUAUGUCUUAACUGACGCUGAUGGACGAAAGCGUG